GUGGGGAAUAUUGGACAAUGGGCGCAAGCCUGAUCCAGCCAUGCCGCGUGAGUGACGAAGGCCUUAGGGUUGUAAAGCUCUUUUGGCGGGGACGAUAAUGACGGUACCCGCAGAAUAAGCUCCGGCUAACUUCGUGCCAGCAGCCGCGGUAAUACGAAGGGAGCUAGCGUUGUUCGGAAUUACUGGGCGUAAAGCGCACGUAGGCGGACUUGUUAGUCAGGGGUGAAAUCCCGGGGCCCAACCUCGGAACUGCCUUUGAUACUGCAAGUCUGGAGUCCGGAAGAGGUGGGUGGAAUUCCUAGUGUAGAGGUGAAAUUCGUAGAUAUUAGGAAGAACACCGGUGGCGAAGGCGGCCCACUGGUCCGGUACUGACGCUGAGGUGCGAAAGCGUGGGGAGCAAACAGG
Molecule: ribosomal RNA, 405 nt
Filed under: uncultured bacterium
Lineage: Bacteria
Description: bacterial SSU rRNA
Rfam family: Bacterial small subunit ribosomal RNA
Source: RNAcentral